Long non-coding RNA from Drosophila nasuta, 694 nucleotides. RefSeq lists it as uncharacterized. NCBI's taxonomy places the organism in Eukaryota, Metazoa, Arthropoda, Insecta, Diptera, Drosophilidae. The transcript has 3 exons. The record is from RefSeq and is a predicted model, not a curated record.
CCCGAGCUGCAAUGCAUAAAUAGACCACCGAAUAUUUUGGUUAUUUUACAAUAUAAAAAAUAUGGAAUGUUGUCCACAUAAAUGGAGAAUUUCGAUCAUAAACGAGGGGAAACAUUUAGGAAAAUGCGUGCUAAGACUGCUCGAUUACUCAUUACCCUGUAAAGAAUUCAAUUUUAAAUGGGGAAAAUGGGAGUACAUAAACAACAUUGUUAUACUUUCAGGAUUAUUUAAAGCAAAUAUUAUAGAUGCAGUCAAACUAAACCAACGUGAUUUGCUGGUUUUCUUAUAUAUGCAGGGUAUAUUCUUAAAAGGGAGCAAAAACAACAAUGGAAAGUGCUGGAGUCAACAACAUCGAGACGUUUUGAAUGGAGUUUCAAUAGUUUCCCAUAAGUUUCAACUACUUUUUAAUAUCACACAUAUGUGCAUACUUUAGCAUAAAUACUUGUAAGACUCCACAAACACACAUACACACACACACACACAUGCAUGCUUCAAUACCACACAAACACAUAAGUAUCUACCAAUGGAUUGCUUUGCGCUUCCUCAAUGCGACCUUCAACAAUAAAUUUGUGUAUCGAGCAUCCAAUGGAAAAUUUGCAAUAAUGAAUGUGAGAAUAUAUAUUUCAGUACUUUCAUAUGUAAUCCGAUUUAUGUAUUCUAAUAUUUACGUUCAUAUUUUGUAUGUCCUUAAAUA